CACGUAGGGUGCGAGCGUUGUCCGGAAUCACUAGGCGUAAAGGGCGCGUAGGCGGCCUGAUAAGUAGGGGGUGAAAUCCUGCGGCUUAACCGCAGGGCUGCCUUCUAAACUGUCGGGCUCGAGCACAGUAGAGGCAGGUGGAAUUCCCGGUGUAGCGGUGGAAUGCGUAGAGAUCGGGAAGAACAUCAGUGGCGAAGGCGGCCUGCUGGGCUGUUGCUGACGCUGAGGCGCGACAGCGUGGGGAGCAAACAGG
Molecule: ribosomal RNA, 253 nt
Filed under: uncultured bacterium
Lineage: Bacteria
Description: partial 16S ribosomal RNA
Rfam family: Bacterial small subunit ribosomal RNA
Source: RNAcentral